AGGCCUGGAGAGAGAGGCAGGGUCUAAUCCGUAGCCUCCAUAGCAGCUGUUGAUCAACACUUGCCUCUCUCUUUUUCUCCG
Myotis lucifugus (little brown bat) is the source of this 81-nucleotide non-coding RNA. The record is from Rfam. Lineage: Eukaryota; Metazoa; Chordata; Mammalia; Chiroptera; Vespertilionidae.